This 837-nucleotide long non-coding RNA is filed under the name Homo sapiens (human). RNAcentral describes it as "HSALNT0071247". The record is from RNAcentral. Lineage: Eukaryota; Metazoa; Chordata; Mammalia; Primates; Hominidae.
GGUGAAUGCAGGAAAAUUGGGAAGAAAACAUCCUGAGCUGCAACAUGGUUACUUGGUGGAGGCUGAGACCUACGAACAAUGAAGGCGGGGAGAGGAUGAGGAACUCAGGAGAAUCAAGCACAAAAUGACAGGGAAGAUAAAAGACUGGAGGAUAUACGCUCACAUUUUUGAAAUAUUAUAUGUGUGUGUGUAUAUAAAGAAACUAAUUUUUUAUUAUUUACAAUCUAAUCAGAAAAAAAAAGAGAGGAUCUUUGAUCAUUUUAGUCUCAUCAUCAGGGAGAAGUUUUCCCUGUAAAGCAAAUUUGAUGGGUCCCUCCUGUGUGUGUGGAGUAGCCCUAGGACUUCUCAGCUCUGGGCACUUGUGGUGAGGCAAGGUUUUGUUUUACACUCACCUUUCUUAUUCCUUUUCUGUCCUGAAAAUCCACUCCACCUGCCUUUCCAGAGUAAAAGAACAGGGACAAUGUGAGCAUAAUAAUAUCUCUAAGUCAGAUAAUGAGGGACCAUCAUCAAUCUUAGCAAAAAAAGGAUAGUUCAUUGUGUAGAGAUACAUUCUGAAGUAUGUGAAGCCACCUUAGAAGAUACUCAGGACCCAGGGAUCACAUGCAGACUCUGGAAUUUGAAGCCAGAAAACUGGGAACAAAACACAUUUGCGACACAGGGAGGAAAAGAGAGAAAGAGAAAACUGGAACAACCUCUAUUUCCUGCAAUAUAGCUAAUCAGAUACCCAGAGCAACCCUCCUACUGAAAACAGCUAAUAUGGUUAAUAAAACGUUAAAAACUCACCUUUCUAAAUGUAUCACUGAGCUGCUAAUAAAGGAAAGACUCCUCAGAGACCAG